GUUAUGGUGGCUCAGUGGUUAGAGCGCCCGCCUAAUAAACGGGAGGGCGUGGGUACGAACACCCGGCCGAGUCA
RNAcentral lists this transfer RNA (74 nucleotides) under Strongylocentrotus purpuratus (purple sea urchin). It matches the Rfam family "tRNA". From Rfam's summary of the family: Transfer RNA (tRNA) molecules are approximately 80 nucleotides in length. Lineage: Eukaryota; Metazoa; Echinodermata; Echinoidea; Camarodonta; Strongylocentrotidae. The record is from Rfam by way of RNAcentral.